GACGAACGCUGGCGGCGUGCCUAACACAUGCCAGUCGAGCGGAAAGGCCCUGAUCUUGCUGGGUGCUCGUUAGGCGAACGGGUGUGUAACACGCGAGUAUCCCGCCCUUGACUUUGGGAUAACUUCUCGAAACUGGGGCUAAUACCGCAUAGGAGAUCUUGCUGCACGGGGUUGGUUGGAGAGUUUCGGCGGUUGGGUAUCGACUCGAUGCUUACCCGCUUGUUUGUGGAGUUGUGGCUUACCAAGGCUUUGACGGGUAGGCGGCCUGGGAGGGUGACCGGCGACAUUGGUACUGAGGUACGGCGCAGACUCCUACGGGAGGCAGCAGGGGGGAAUAUUGCGGAAUGGGCGGAAGCCUGAUGCAGAAGCGCCGCGUGCGGGAUGACGGCCUUCGGGUUGUAAACCACUUUCGCCUUUGACGAAGCGUGAGUGACGGUAAUGGGUAAAGAAGCACCGGCUAACUACGUG
This 468-nucleotide ribosomal RNA is filed under the name uncultured bacterium. Its description in RNAcentral is "partial 16S ribosomal RNA". It matches the Rfam family "Bacterial small subunit ribosomal RNA", at positions 28 to 507 of the family's 1533-position model. The record is from RNAcentral.